AUGGGACCUCACUCUGCAGAUUAUCACAUCAAGAUGAGAUCCCGUGGGUGGGCUCCAACCCCGGGAAACCGCGUCCUUUUAAGACACAUAGAGUGGCUUGUUAGGCAGAAAUACCCGCUGAGGAAUGACCUUUUGCCCUGGCCUCUCGCAUAUCACAGAAUUGCUGCUCUGGAAGAGGAAGCUGUAGGCUGUCAGACAAAGCAUGAAUCUUUGACAGAAGCUCAUCCAGCAGAUCAGAAACGUCAUCCAGGUAGUAAUUCUGAAGCAAAGAAAAUCAGAUUAGUGAAUGCCUUCAAGAAACUGUUUUUUUUUUUUCUUUUCCCCUCAUUUUCUGAAGUAUUUUAUGAUACUGACUUUAGAUGGCAUUGUGCUUGUUAGAAAGCUAACUGGAUCCUGGAGUCAGAGGCCUGGGUGCUGGGCCGGAAUUCUAAGCUCUCUGUUCCCUGAUGCCCCAGGCACAUACAGGUGUGCACACUAGUCCCUGACUCCCCAGGUCACACGCAGAUGAAUGUUGGGGUUCAGAAUGCCCAUAUGAGGACUGUACCGUGGAUUUAAAGGCAAUGAGGGAUGGUAAAAUAUAUGAUAAAGAGUGAAGCCCUAUAAAAAUGCCCAAGAUCACAAUCGCACAUGAUUGGCUUUGGACCUGUACUGAGUGAUGCCCAAGUAUCAGUCACGGAGGAGUAGCCUGGCCUUCAGUGUGCCGCGGUCUGCUUUGAUUUGCUUACAUUCAUGUUGGGGUGACUAGGCUCAGACCCUGUGCUAAGUCCUCAUGUUUGGGGAGAAGUUUGGCCCUGGUGGCAGAAACCGAAAGCAAAUGGUUGCUCUGCAGGGACAGAGUGUGGGGCGGGGGGUGGGGGUGGGGGUCGGGUCGGUAGCAGAGGCCAGAGUCCUAAACCCCCAUUUCUAACCUUACAGGGUCAUCCAAGGGUAUCAUGAGCUAAUGGAAGAGACUGUGCUUCUAAUCUGCUAAGUGCUUUAGAAUUCAACUGGAAAAGCCACGGCUUUGCAACAACACUUAGCAAAGAAGCACAAUCACACUUAAAUAACCAGAAGCAACGCUGUGCAAGGAAAGCAUCAUCUGGAUGAGCCAUCGUGCUUGCCGGCCCAAGACCCACAGCUUACAUGACUCUCGACCAUCUCGGCCUCUUCCUGCUGUGGCCUUUCCAGUCCCAGCCAGGCCAGGGCCUCUGUCCGCACAUAGGCAGUCACGUCUGCCAGUCUCACAACAGACUGGCUUUGAAAAGAUUUCCUUCUUUGAGCAAGAGUCGUGAAGGAACCUCUCAGCUGGGGAGAAUAAAAAAAAAAAAAAAGAAAGAAAAGAAAAAAAAACAGACAAAUUUCAUGUUAUCAACCAAAACAUGGCUUUCCUAAUGUGAUAGACUAUAAAAUGGAGAUUAUAACUGAUGAUGCUAUUCUAUCACCUUUUAAUAAGAUGGUAACUGCUUAGCAAAAAAGUCAGGAAAUAUCUCUCAUGCGUUGAACUAAAUUGCAACAAGAUGAAUUCAGUAAUGAAAAUGGAUCUUAUGGGCACCCGGGGGGCUCAGUCGGUUAGGCUUCUGCCUUCAGCUCAGAUCAUGAUCCGAGGCUUCUGGGAUCGAACCGCACGCCAGGCUCCCUGCUCCGUGGGGAGCCUGCUUCUUCCUUUCCCUUUUCCUUGUGAUCUCUCUCACUCUCAAUCUCUCUCAAAUAAAUAAAUAAAAUCUUUAAAAAAAAAAGAAAGCAAAAGCAUUUUUCUAUAAAGGGUGUUUUCAGUGUCUAACAGUUGAGGACAAAGAUGGUCAACAGGGUGGACAUCUCCACAUGCAAACUUGGCUUCAAGGUGCUCUGCAGCCCCGCCAGGCUGGGGGCAGCUACCCCCGCCCCCUACCCCGCAAGGCAGGGAAACGACCUCACGGGGCCUCUGCAAAGCAGCCCAGCUUGUUCCUUUCUCGACUGCAGGCUGAGACCUGUUAGGUCAAAAAGCCUGUGGGCACAAAACUCAAAGUUGUAUGCAUUCAACUGUUGUAAAAAUAGUCCAAACAAGCAAAGUUUGAGCCUUUGAGCCUGCUUUGCAUACUGCAGAACCUCAGGGACAGCUGUUUCCCAGGACUCCAAGACGCUGCUGCCCCUGGGCGCUCCGACUCAGCCUUCCCACUUGCUGCCGGGCGCCAUCUACCCACGAAGACGCGCACUCCCCUCCACAUCCCCCUGGCCUUCUCCCCCUUCUCUUUUUUUUUUUUUUUUAAUUUUUUAUGAGUCACAGAGAGAGAGAGAGAGAGGCAGAGACAUAGGCAGAGGG
This 2278-nucleotide long non-coding RNA is filed under the name Canis lupus familiaris (dog). RNAcentral describes it as "lncRNA (ENSCAFG00030021061.1)". Lineage: Eukaryota; Metazoa; Chordata; Mammalia; Carnivora; Canidae. The record is from RNAcentral.